GGGGCCUUAGCUCAGCUGGGAGAGCGCCUGCUUUGCACGCAGGAGGUCAGGAGUUCGGAUCCUCCUAGGCUCCACCA
Molecule: transfer RNA, 77 nt
Filed under: Catenibacterium sp. AM22-6LB
Lineage: Bacteria; Bacillati; Bacillota; Erysipelotrichia; Erysipelotrichales; Coprobacillaceae
Description: tRNA-Ala
Rfam family: tRNA
About the family: Transfer RNA (tRNA) molecules are approximately 80 nucleotides in length. Their secondary structure includes four short double-helical elements and three loops (D, anti-codon, and T loops).
Source: RNAcentral